UGGGGAAUAUUGCACAAUGGGGGAAACCCUGAUGCAGCAACGCCGCGUGAGUGACGACGGUCUUCGGGUUGUAAAGCUCUGUCUUCAGGGACGAUAAUGACGGUACCUGAGAAGGAAGCCACGGCUAACUACGUGCCAGCAGCCGCGGUAAUACGUAGGUGGCAAGCGUUGUCCGGAUUUACUGGGCGUAAAGGGAGCGUAGGUGGAUAUUUAAGUGGGAUGUGAAAUACUCGGGCUUAACCUGGGUGCUGCAUUCCAAACUGGAUAGCUAGAGUGCAGGAGAGGAAAGUAGAAUUCCUAGUGUAGCGGUGAAAUGCGUAGAGAUUAGGAAGAAUACCAGUGGCGAAGGCGACUUUCUGGACUGUAACUGACACUGAGGCUCGAAAGCGUGGGGAGCAAACA
RNAcentral lists this ribosomal RNA (402 nucleotides) under uncultured bacterium. Its description in RNAcentral is "bacterial SSU rRNA". It matches the Rfam family "Bacterial small subunit ribosomal RNA", at positions 355 to 774 of the family's 1533-position model. The record is from RNAcentral.